Molecule: non-coding RNA, 45 nt
Organism: Schistosoma mansoni
Lineage: Eukaryota; Metazoa; Platyhelminthes; Trematoda; Strigeidida; Schistosomatidae
Source: Rfam
AUCCAGCUGAUGAGUCCCAAAUAGGACUUGUCGAGCAUCCUGGAU